UAGGAACCAGAGUGGAGGGAUUGAGAGUUGUGCAUCGUUCUAUGGUCAAAUUGGGCAUAUUUAACAGAAUGAUCAUAUAAGGUUUUGGAGCUUCUAAGAUGGCCUUCUUCCUAGAGGCGUUCAAAGUCCUCCCCUCCUGAGUUAGUGGGAUUAGACAGAUGAACUGCGGUCACCAGAUGCCCAAGCCUCAAAACCAGAAACAUGUGGAG
This is a long non-coding RNA of Coregonus clupeaformis (lake whitefish), 209 nucleotides long. RefSeq lists it as uncharacterized. Lineage: Eukaryota; Metazoa; Chordata; Actinopteri; Salmoniformes; Salmonidae. The transcript is spliced from 3 exons. The record is from RefSeq and is a predicted model, not a curated record.